This 144-nucleotide microRNA precursor is filed under the name Oryza brachyantha (malo sina). Its description in RNAcentral is "MIR812 microRNA precursor family". It matches the Rfam family "MIR812 microRNA precursor family", at positions 32 to 174 of the family's 205-position model. The record is from Rfam by way of RNAcentral. Lineage: Eukaryota; Viridiplantae; Streptophyta; Magnoliopsida; Poales; Poaceae.
UUUUGACUCUUCGUCUUAUUUGAAAUUUUUUUACGAUUAAUAUUUUUAUUGUUACUAGAUGAUAAAAUAUAAAUAGUACUUUAUGUAUGACUAAUUUUUUAAAAAGUUUUUUAUAAAUUUUUCAAAUAAGACGAAUGAUAAAAG